UAAAGGCAAAAGUUUUGGGUUUAAGUCCCUUGUGAUGCGGCCUUUAAAUUUCUUUAUUUAAUAUUGUUAAUUUAUCAAAAAAAAAAAUGAAACCCAAACUUCACAAAAAGAAAAAGAAAAAGAACAAUGCACUUCACAAAUACAGAUUUCUAACAUUUCUAAAAGAUCUACAUAAUCUAUCUUCUCAUUUCGCCUAAAGGUUUUGUAAACUUCCCCUGUAAAAAACUCUAUAAUAUGGUGUGGUGCAUUGUCAUCGAAGGGUCUGGUUAUUGUGACAUUGGCC
This 283-nucleotide long non-coding RNA is filed under the name Salvia miltiorrhiza (redroot sage). Its description in RNAcentral is "long non-coding RNA (SMIL_LNC009739)". Lineage: Eukaryota; Viridiplantae; Streptophyta; Magnoliopsida; Lamiales; Lamiaceae. The record is from RNAcentral.